This 1408-nucleotide ribosomal RNA is filed under the name Vibrio parahaemolyticus. Its description in RNAcentral is "bacterial SSU rRNA". It matches the Rfam family "Bacterial small subunit ribosomal RNA". The record is from RNAcentral. Lineage: Bacteria; Pseudomonadati; Pseudomonadota; Gammaproteobacteria; Vibrionales; Vibrionaceae.
GAUAGCGGCGUCGAGCGGCGGACGGGUGAGUAAUGCCUAGGAAAUUGCCCUGAUGUGGGGGAUAACCAUUGGAAACGAUGGCUAAUACCGCAUGAUGCCUACGGGCCAAAGAGGGGGACCUUCGGGCCUCUCGCGUCAGGAUAUGCCUAGGUGGGAUUAGCUAGUUGGUGAGGUAAGGGCUCACCAAGGCGACGAUCCCUAGCUGGUCUGAGAGGAUGAUCAGCCACACUGGAACUGAGACACGGUCCAGACUCCUACGGGAGGCAGCAGUGGGGAAUAUUGCACAAUGGGCGCAAGCCUGAUGCAGCCAUGCCGCGUGUGUGAAGAAGGCCUUCGGGUUGUAAAGCACUUUCAGUCGUGAGGAAGGUAGUGUAGUUAAUAGCUGCAUUAUUUGACGUUAGCGACAGAAGAAGCACCGGCUAACUCCGUGCCAGCAGCCGCGGUAAUACGGAGGGUGCGAGCGUUAAUCGGAAUUACUGGGCGUAAAGCGCAUGCAGGUGGUUUGUUAAGUCAGAUGUGAAAGCCCGGGGCUCAACCUCGGAAUUGCAUUUGAAACUGGCAGACUAGAGUACUGUAGAGGGGGGUAGAAUUUCAGGUGUAGCGGUGAAAUGCGUAGAGAUCUGAAGGAAUACCGGUGGCGAAGGCGGCCCCCUGGACAGAUACUGACACUCAGAUGCGAAAGCGUGGGGAGCAAACAGGAUUAGAUACCCUGGUAGUCCACGCCGUAAACGAUGUCUACUUGGAGGUUGUGGCCUUGAGCCGUGGCUUUCGGAGCUAACGCGUUAAGUAGACCGCCUGGGGAGUACGGUCGCAAGAUUAAAACUCAAAUGAAUUGACGGGGGCCCGCACAAGCGGUGGAGCAUGUGGUUUAAUUCGAUGCAACGCGAAGAACCUUACCUACUCUUGACAUCCAGAGAACUUUCCAGAGAUGGAUUGGUGCCUUCGGGAACUCUGAGACAGGUGCUGCAUGGCUGUCGUCAGCUCGUGUUGUGAAAUGUUGGGUUAAGUCCCGCAACGAGCGCAACCCUUAUCCUUGUUUGCCAGCGAGUAAUGUCGGGAACUCCAGGGAGACUGCCGGUGAUAAACCGGAGGAAGGUGGGGACGACGUCAAGUCAUCAUGGCCCUUACGAGUAGGGCUACACACGUGCUACAAUGGCGCAUACAGAGGGCGGCCAACUUGCGAAAGUGAGCGAAUCCCAAAAAGUGCGUCGUAGUCCGGAUUGGAGUCUGCAACUCGACUCCAUGAAGUCGGAAUCGCUAGUAAUCGUGGAUCAGAAUGCCACGGUGAAUACGUUCCCGGGCCUUGUACACACCGCCCGUCACACCAUGGGAGUGGGCUGCAAAAGAAGUAGGUAGUUUAACCUUCGGGGGGACGCUUACCACUUUGUGGUUCAUGACUGGGGUGAAG